Molecule: non-coding RNA, 1069 nt
Organism: Malus domestica (apple)
Lineage: Eukaryota; Viridiplantae; Streptophyta; Magnoliopsida; Rosales; Rosaceae
Source: RefSeq, a predicted model, not a curated record
UCUCUCUCUCUCUCUACUUUUCCGUGCUUUAUCCUGUCCAGCUCUUUCUUAGGCUCUCUCGAGUGGUUCAUCACCUACACUUCAUUUCCUGUUUCUCGUCUCCUCCUUCUUCGUCCCACGCUGUAAGUCUGAAAAUCAUGAGUGAAAUCGAAGAGAAAACGUGUCUGAUAUGUGCCGAGGAAAUGGAUUUGACGGAUCAGCAACUAAAGCCGUGGAAAUGCAGUUAUGAGGUAUGUGUUUGGUGCUGGCAUCACAUUAUGGAAAUGGGAGAGAAGGAUGGAAAGGAGGGCCACAGUCCAGUAUGUCGUACACCUUAUGACAAGAAAUUGUUGGAGUGGCAGCACAUGGUAUCGUUUCAGGUUAAUGUAUGUUGUUAUGUGACAACUGACAAGUUGAGGAUAGAAACUGUUUCCCUCCUUGAACGGAUUGGUGACUGAAAUUAAUGUGAAGCGGAAACAGAAAAAACCCAAGGGAUCUGAAGUAAAGAAACAGCAUCUUACUGAUGUUAGAGUUCUCCAACGGAGCCUAGUGUAUGUGAUUGGAAUACCUCUUCACCUUGCAAGUGAAGACCUUCUCAAGUGAAGGGAGUAUUUUGGCUAGUACGGAAAGAUUUUAAAGGUUUCUAUCUCUUGUACAGCAAAUGGGGCUAUCCAACAGGCUCCAAACAACAGUUGCUAUGUGUAAGUGAGGUUACCACUUUCAAUGUUCUAUAAGGCAGGGAGGUAGUUUACUAUCUCUAGACAAAGAGCUGGGCACCACGUAGUGCUCUCUCUCUAGACAGAUAGCUGGGUGCCAUUACAUAAUCUCCCACUCUCUCUCAUAGAGAGCUUGGUCUUCAGCCGCCACAUAAUUUCACCAUUUUCAUGCUAGUUGGGUCUUCAGCCACCGCAUAACCUCACCAUUUUCAUGCUAGCUGAGCUUUCAGCCAUGGCAACAUCACCUAUCACAGCAUCACCCAUCACCUCAACUAAUGAACCAUCCAUCCCCUGAAAACCCAAAAACUUUGGCUGCUUAUUUCACAACCCUGCUUGCUUGGGCUGUUGUUUGCUAUUGGUACCAGUCCUCCAGG